GAACGGGAUGCUUAGGCAUCUAGUGGCGGACGGGUGAGUAACGCGUGAGAAUCUGGCUUCAGGAUGGGGACAACAGUUGGAAACGGCUGCUAAGACCCGAUGUGCCGCAAGGUGAAAUAUUUAUAGCCUGAAGAUGAGCUCGCGUCUGAUUAGCUAGUUGGGGAGGUAAAGGCUCACCAAGGCAGCGAUCAGUAGCUGGUCUGAGAGGAUGACCAGCCACACUGGGACUGAGACACGGCCCAGACUCCUACGGGAGGCAGCAGUGGGGAAUUUUCCGCAAUGGGCGAAAGCCUGACGGAGCAAUACCGCGUGAGGGAGGAAGGCUCUUGGGUUGUAAACCUCUUUUCUUAGGGAAGAAAAAAAUGACGGUACCUAAGGAAUAAGCAUCGGCUAACUCCGUGCCAGCAGCCGCGGUAAUACGGAGGAUGCAAGCGUUAUCCGGAAUGAUUGGGCGUAAAGCGUCCGCAGGUGGCGAUUCAAGUCGAUUGUCAAAGGUCUCGGCUCAACUGAGAACAGGCAGUGGAAACUGAACAGCUAGAGUGCGGUAGGGGUAGAGGGAAUUCCCGGUGUAGCGGUGAAAUGCGUAGAGAUCGGGAAGAACACCAGUGGCGAAAGCGCUCUACUAGACCGCAACUGACACUCAGGGACGAAAGCUAGGGGAGCGAAUGGGAUUAGAUACCCCAGUAGUCCUAGCCGUAAACGAUGGAUACUAGGCGUUGCUUGUAUCGACCCAAGCAGUGCCGUAGCUAACGCGUUAAGUAUCCCGCCUGGGGAGUACGCGCGCAAGCGUG
This 791-nucleotide ribosomal RNA is filed under the name uncultured bacterium. Its description in RNAcentral is "bacterial SSU rRNA". It matches the Rfam family "Bacterial small subunit ribosomal RNA", at positions 64 to 896 of the family's 1533-position model. The record is from RNAcentral.